GUCUGUCGUGGUCAUCUCUCUAUUAUGCAUUGAAGAGGGAAAGCAAAACAAAGCCAACAGCAGCAGCUGAGUUUAACAUAUUUGUUUUUUAAGGUGAGGUCUUUGCUAUUUACUUUAGACUUCAUUAUAGUGUUAAUCACUGUCUGCAGCGUAGUGCUUAUUUCUGCAGUCUCUUUCUCCCUGCAGUUUUUUUUUAAUUUAAAGAGUAACUAGCACUGUCAUUUCUAUAGGAAAAAUAAAAUGCAAGAACAGACACCUGAGGGUCUUCUUGUGACCACUGCUAACCCCUUAACAUUAUAUUUCUAAAAUGACAGUAAAUCAAUGCCUAUUAUUAUUUUCCAAAGCACUUUGUUUGGCUGGUCUUUACCACAGUGCUGGCCUGUGUUGCUGCGUGGUUUUGUUUUAAAUCCUAGACGUAUCAUAGUUGUCGGACAUCUGGGGUUAUCCUGUUACAGAUUGCUGUCUAUAAAGCAAUCCGUGAAAGAACAGACACCACAGGUGUGCAAAUCUGAGUGUAGUGCAUAUAUGGAUUAAAAACAAAAAAUAGCAGGUUUUUUAAAAAGAAGUGCUUGUAGGUAUUUGAUGUGGCACAGUGUUUCCUCUGCCCAUAUCACUUACUGCUUUGUAUUUGUUUUUGUCUGUAGCCCAUCCAUAUCAGCUUUUCAGCCUUAAAACCCAAUCAGCUGGCAUGACAGGUCAGUUAAAACUCAGUAAGUACCUGAUGAUGUUCUAGUGUGGCUCCAUCCUCUACAUGUGGAUGUUAGGCCUUGUAUUAUUAAAUUUCACACCAAUCAGCCACAGCACAUGAACACUUGGACUACACGUCUCCCAGCAGCAGAUUUUAAGAUGAUUAGUGUCACUUCAUCUGUGAGUGGUUUCAAGGUUGUGGCUCAUUAGUGUGAUGUCAGAAGAGCUAUGCCUGAAGUGACAUUGAAAUGUGCACUGAGUUUGUCUCUCUUGUCCUGUCUGAGUUUGAAAAUUACAAACAUGGUAAGUAGUCGUGGGAUGGGCCGCCAGUGUCACCGGGGCUUCUGUCAAAGGGUCAGUUCACCCUGAUUUCGCAAGUGGUGUCUAACCUGAUUGCUCUUAGUUUUUGUGCUUGCUAGGUAAAUUCCAGCAUCUUACUAACUUUGCACAUUGACAUUAAAGAAUUUCUGUCAAAUGUUUCACACCAACGUGAUUGUUCUCCUCUGGGAACUUCCCUUCAGUCUCAAGAAUCAUCACUGUUUUUGUUCCUUGUAAUAAGUAAAAUGAUAAUAUGAAUUUCCCCUGAAGUGUUUUUGGGAAAAACACCAUGAUUUCAGGAUUAGUCUUAUAUAGCAGUAAAAUUUAGGCUAAACUUGAAUUUUUUUUUUUUCUUCACCUUGCUGUCUUAUACAUUCUCCAAAACAAUAUCACAUUUUUUCCUGAACAUAAAAUUGUAUCGAGAAUAUCUGAACCAAAAAGAAGCAAAACAGGACACCACAGGUGAGAGCUGAGUAGGAAGGUUGUUUUAAACUUGGGUGAACUAACUCUUAAAUUCUGACAUAAGAGCUAAUGUCUGUAAUACGUAAAGUGAAAGUAUUGAUACUGGUUAGGUGUUUUUUGGUUUUGUUUUGUUUUUUGUUUUUUUCCCAGCUUUUUGGGUGUUUUUUUUUUUGUUUUCUAUUUUUUGUUUUUUUGAGGGGGGGGGGGGGUUAGCAUCAGGCUCAUGUUUAGACCAAGCUAUUGGAUUUCAGAUGUGCUUAGCUAUGAGUCUGUCUAACAUGUGCUUCUUAUUCAUGUCAUAACGGUUUUCUGUAUCAGAUGCUUUAUUUCUCUCUCCAGAUAGUAAAAUAAAUAUAAGCUGUCAUAUAAAGUACAGAAAUAAUACAUGUCAAUUUAAUAAAAAUAAUUGAAA
Astatotilapia calliptera (eastern happy) is the source of this 1879-nucleotide long non-coding RNA. The record is from Ensembl. Lineage: Eukaryota; Metazoa; Chordata; Actinopteri; Cichliformes; Cichlidae.